Long non-coding RNA from Sorghum bicolor (sorghum), 468 nucleotides. RefSeq lists it as uncharacterized. The record is from RefSeq and is a predicted model, not a curated record. NCBI's taxonomy places the organism in Eukaryota, Viridiplantae, Streptophyta, Magnoliopsida, Poales, Poaceae. The transcript is spliced from 4 exons.
UGAAAAGGGAUGCUAUACUGCCUCGGCCUUAUGGUGGGAUUGAGACUAUGGCUAGUGCUCUUAAGAUGACAAUUGCAUGGCCCUACAAUAAAAUCAAGGAAUGCAGGAAGAAGGCACCUGAACCUCCCAAGGGCACUACACGAAGUGCUGGGCAGAUGCCUUUGUCUUGACUUUUUGGAAAAUGAUUCAUGUGCUAUAAUUUUGGAAGUGUUGGGCACAAGUGUUUGCUUGAGUUUAUGGAAGGUGGCUGUACACAUAACCUGGUGGAUGUAAUAUGUGUUGGCAAGCCAUUGCUUUUGGCUUUUGAUUUCUUAGAAAUGAAUGUGUGCCCAAACCUUUUGGUGCUUGCUGGGAGAAUUAAUAUUGCUUGUCGGGAGUACAUUCAUGUAACCAUUUGGUGCUUGACUUUGGAUGAUUCAAACACUGUGUAAGACAAUAUUAUAUGUUAUAUGUAUUGACCUUCACGAA